This 253-nucleotide ribosomal RNA is filed under the name uncultured bacterium. Its description in RNAcentral is "partial 16S ribosomal RNA". It matches the Rfam family "Bacterial small subunit ribosomal RNA", at positions 524 to 776 of the family's 1533-position model. The record is from RNAcentral.
UACGGAGGGUGCAAGCGUUAAUCGGAAUUACUGGGCGUAAAGCGUGCGCAGGCGGUUUGUUAGGUCUGCUGUGAAAUCCCCGAGCUCAACUUGGGAAUUGCAGUGGAUACUGGCAGGCUGGAGUAUGGUAGAGGAAGGUGGAAUUCCCGGUGUAGCAGUGAAAUGCGUAGAGAUCGGGAGGAACACCAGUGGCGAAGGCGGCCUUCUGGACCAAUACUGACGCUCAUGCACGAAAGCGUGGGGAGCAAACAGG